GAUGAAGAACGCAGCGAAAUGCGAUAAGUAAUGUGAAUUGCAGAAUUCAGUGAAUCAUCGAAUGUUUGAACGCACAUUGCGCCCGCCAGUAUUCUGGCGGGCAUGCCUGUUCGAGCGUCAUUUCAACCAUCAAGCCCCCGGGCUUGUGUUGGGGACCUGCGGCUGCCGCAGGCCCUGAAAAGCAGUGGCGGGCUCGCUGUCACACCGAGCGUAGUAGAUUUUAUCUCGCUCUGGGCGUGCUGCGGGUUCCGGCCGUUAAACCACCCUUUUAACCCAAGGUUGACCUCGGAUCAGGUAGGAAGACCCGCUGAACUUAAGCAUAUCAAUAAGCGGGGA
This 336-nucleotide unclassified non-coding RNA is filed under the name soil metagenome. Its description in RNAcentral is "partial contains 5.8S ribosomal RNA, internal transcribed spacer 2, and large subunit ribosomal RNA". The stretch from base 1 to 120 matches the Rfam family "5.8S ribosomal RNA", at positions 35 to 154 of the family's 154-position model. The record is from RNAcentral.